CACGGGUGAGUAACACGUGGGAACGUACCCUUCACUGCGGAACAACGUCGGGAAACUGACGCUAAUACCGCAUAAUGUCUCCCGGACCAAAGAUUUAUCGGUGAGGGAUCGGCCCGCGUUAGAUUAGCUAGUUGGUGAGGUAAUGGCUCACCAAGGCUACGAUCUAUAGCUGGUCUGAGAGGAUGAUCAGCCACACUGGGACUGAGACACGGCCCAGACUCCUAC
Molecule: ribosomal RNA, 225 nt
Filed under: uncultured bacterium
Lineage: Bacteria
Description: 16S ribosomal RNA
Rfam family: Bacterial small subunit ribosomal RNA
Source: RNAcentral